AGUAGCGGUGAAAUGCGUAGAUAUCUGGAGGAAUACCAAAGGCGAAGGCAGUCCCCUGGUCCGAUACUGACACUGAGGUACGAAAGCGUGGGGAGCAAACAGGAUUAGAUACCCUGGUAGUCCACGCCCUAAACGAUGUCGAUUAGCCAUUGGAAGGACCCCUUUUCCUUUCAGUGACGUAGCUAACGCGUUAAAUCGACCGCCUGGGAAGUACGACCGCAAGGUUAAAACUCAAAGGAAUUGACGGGGACCUGAACAAGCGGUGAAUGAUGUGGAUUAAUUCGAUGCUACGCGAAGAACCUUACCUACCUUUGACAUGGCCAAAGUUCUACCGAGAGGCGGAAGUACUCGUAAGAGGAUUGGCGCACAGGUGCUGCAUGGUUGUCGUCAGUUCGUGUCGUGAGAUGUUGGGUUCAGUCCCGCAACGAACGCAACCCUUAUCUUUAAUUGCUCCUAUUUUAACAGGCACUUUAAAGAAACUGCCAAUGAUAAGUUGGAGGAAGGUGGGGAUCACGUCAAGUCCGCAUGGCCUUUAUAGGUAGGGCUUCACACGUCAUACAAUGGUUAGAACAAAGAGCUGCAAAUUCGUAAGAAGGAGCCAAUCUCACAAACCUAACCUCAGUUCGAAUUGCGGUCUGCAACUCGAGCGCAUGAAGCCGGAAUCGCUAGUAAUCGUGGAUCAGAAUGCCA
This 690-nucleotide ribosomal RNA is filed under the name uncultured Candidatus Tremblayella sp. RNAcentral's name for it is "bacterial SSU rRNA". It matches the Rfam family "Bacterial small subunit ribosomal RNA", at positions 674 to 1359 of the family's 1533-position model. Lineage: Bacteria; Pseudomonadati; Pseudomonadota; Betaproteobacteria. The record is from RNAcentral.